RNAcentral lists this unclassified non-coding RNA (253 nucleotides) under uncultured Micrococcaceae bacterium. RNAcentral describes it as "contains 16S-23S intergenic spacer region". It matches the Rfam family "Bacterial small subunit ribosomal RNA", at positions 524 to 776 of the family's 1533-position model. The record is from RNAcentral. Lineage: Bacteria; Bacillati; Actinomycetota; Actinomycetes; Micrococcales; Micrococcaceae.
UACGUAGGGCGCAAGCGGUAUCCGGAAUUAUUGGGCGUAAAGAGCUCGUAGGCGGUUCGUCGCGUCUGCCGGGAAAGUCCGGGGCUCAACCGCGGGUCUGCAGGGGGUACGGGCAGACUAGAGUGCAGUAGGGGAGACUGGAAUUCCUGGUGUAGCGGUGAAAUGCGCAGAUAUCAGGAGGAACACCGAUGGCGAAGGCAGGUCUCUGGGCUGUUACUGACGCUGAGGAGCGAAAGCAUGGGGAGCGAACAGG